CCGAUAGCGUAUAUUAAAGUUGUUGCAGUUAAAAAGCUCGUAGUUGAAUUUCGGGAUCAAUGGGUUGGUCAUGCCCUCGGUAUGUACUGAUUUCAUUGGUUCUCACCUUCUAAGGAACCAUGAUGUCAUUCGUUUGAUGUUGUGGGGAAUUAGGACUGUUACCUUGAAAAAAUUAGAGUGUUUAAAGCAGGCUAACGCUUGAAUACAUUAGCGUGGAAUAAUGAAAUAGGACAUCCGAUUCUAUUUUGUUGGUUUCUAGGAUCGAUGUAAUGAUUAAUAGGGAUAGUUGGUGGCAUUAGUAUUCAAUUGUCAGAGGUAAAAUUCUUUGAUUUAUUGAAGACUAACUACUGCGAAAGCAUUUGCCAAGGAUGUUUACAUUAAUCAAGAACGAAAGUUAGGGGAUCGAAGACGAUCAGAUACCGUCGUAGUCUUAACCAUAAACUAUGCCGACUAGGGAUCGGAUGAUGCUUAUUUUUUAAUGACUCAUUCGGCACCUUACG
RNAcentral lists this ribosomal RNA (500 nucleotides) under uncultured Glomeromycotina. RNAcentral's name for it is "partial small subunit ribosomal RNA". It matches the Rfam family "Eukaryotic small subunit ribosomal RNA", at positions 591 to 1092 of the family's 1831-position model. Lineage: Eukaryota; Fungi; Glomeromycota. The record is from RNAcentral.